This 19-nucleotide small nuclear RNA is filed under the name Arabidopsis thaliana (thale cress). RNAcentral's name for it is "snRNA_09705". The record is from RNAcentral. Lineage: Eukaryota; Viridiplantae; Streptophyta; Magnoliopsida; Brassicales; Brassicaceae.
AGGAUCGAACUCAAGUCUG